This is a long non-coding RNA of Psammomys obesus (fat sand rat), 2969 nucleotides long. RefSeq lists it as uncharacterized. The transcript has 3 exons. Lineage: Eukaryota; Metazoa; Chordata; Mammalia; Rodentia; Muridae. The record is from RefSeq and is a predicted model, not a curated record.
GAGUCCUGGGCGGGGACUGGGCGUGUCCCUUGCCUUGGGGCUGUGCUUGUAGGAGCGAGAGGGAUGGGGCUGCGGGAUUCUAAAUAUGAUUUUUAUUGCGACUGUGGGACUGGUUGAGUGCUUGUAAAGUGUGCUGUUGUGAUCACCCGUUUCCAACGUGUAUAUCUGGUGGUUGCUGUGCAGGUGUAAUGUGAUGUGUGUUGUGGUUCCGGGAUGUUGUGAUUGUGAAAGCGAUUUCUUUCGGUAGCCUUUAUCCCUGGGGGUGUGCCUAUAGUUCUGUUUGUGUCUCUGGGUUCGGUGACCUUGCGUAGUACUGUGUGCGGCGUUCUGUGUCCGUGACUCUGCAUCGGCGCUGCGUGGGUAUCCUUGCUGUGUUCCUCGGGGGGAAGGGGAGGGGCGGGAAAGUGCUUUGUGACAGUGUGUGACGCUGUGUGCGCGCGGGUGUGGACCAUCUUUGCUCAUGAGUGAAUGUUCAGUUACGGUUGGAUGAUGCAGAGGACUGUGCUCCUCCGUGUGUGAGUGUGACUGUGUAGGGGGUCCUGUAGGGGUGUUAGUAAUGGACCCGGGAAGUGACAGGAUAGCUGAUUGUUGCCUGUGUCCUUGUGGGUCUCAGGAGUGGCUGAAUGAAGCUAAACGCCGGUGUACACAGCCCUGUAAUCCCACCAUUUAGUCUCCUGAGGCAGGAGGAUCUCAAAAUCAAGGCCAGCCGGAGAUACGUUGCAAAACUGUGUCUAAAAAAAAAAAAAGAAAGGUGGCUGGUUGCUGGAGAGAUGCCUAAGGGUGUAAAGUUUUUGUGGCACAAGCAUGAGGCUCUGAGCUUGGAUCUCCAAAGUCAGUUGUCGUGGUGUGUUUGUGUAGGAUCCGGAGACAGUCUCCAAAAGCUCUCAGGUAAACUAGCCUGGAGUAUGUCGCAGUGAUUCGACCACAAAGUCAAGAGCUAGCACCAGCGUUCAAGUCUUCAUGUGCCUGAAUAUGUGCACACACACAAAGAUAAGUACAUGUUUUUCGGGCUGGAGAGAUGGCUCAGACGUUAAGAACACUGUCUGCUCUUCCCCAGGUCCUGAGUUCAAUUCCCAGCAACCACAUGGUGGCUCACAACCAUCUAUCAUGAGAUCUGUUGCCCUCUUCUGGUGUGGAGGUGUACAUGCAGGCAGAACAUUGUAUACAUAAUAAAUCUUUAAAAUCUAUAUCCACUCCUAAAAAGGGGAAAGUGUUGGUGUGCAGUUUCGACAUUAAUGUCUUGCAGUAGCCAAGUGUGUCAAUGAUGUGGCUCUACUGUGAAGAGCCUGUGAAGUUUGAGCAGAUUCUGGCCCUGGACAGCAGUGACCUCAGCUUUACAAGGACUUGUCAUUUCUAAGCCAGAUGUCAUCUUCUUAUUGGAGCAAGGGAAAGAAACAUGGAUGGUUACAAAUUAUAUGACAAGACCUUGGCAUCCAGUUUUCAGACUUGGAGUCAAAGUACAACAGAGUUCCACAGAAAGGCCUUUUGAAACAGUCGUUCAGACGGGAGUGGUGAGACGCUGCUUUCCACACCAGGACUGUGAGGAUAGCUGGGAGUGCAGAGACCGGCUUGAGAGACAGCGAGCAAGCCGGGGGUGUCGUUUCCAGCGUGUGGGAAUCACCGGGGAAGGCAUGCCUACUUUCGGUGUCACCCGUCUGUCACCCUGCUACAGCAGAGCAACACAACUGUUGACACACUGACUGAAUGUAGUGACGGCUGUGGCUCACGCUGGUGAGAAGCCCUCUGAACGGAAGGCCUGUGGGAAGGCCUUUAGUCGCAGUUCAUACCUCACUCAACGUCAGAGAAUCCGCACAGGUGGCAGGCCUUAUGGCUGUAAGGAGGGUGGGAAGGCCUUUAUUCGUGCUCCCCAGUGGACUCAUCAUCAGAGCAUUCAUACCUAGGAGAAACCCUACAGAUGUAGGGAGUGUGGAACGGCUUAUAGUUGAAGCUCACAACUUACUGAACAUGAGAGAAUUCACCCCGGUAUUGAGCCAUACGAACGUAAAGAAUGUGGGCAGGCCUUCAUCCACGGCUCACAGCUCAUUGACCACUACCACCUCCACACUGACUGGAGUUCUCAACAUCAGUAGACAGGCCUUUAAUCGAAGGUCGCAUCUGGCCAGAGUUACGUCGCCCCCAAUGUAACUAAUGCUGGGAAAACUUCAUUCGUCUCUGCUGUUACGGGAUAUCAGAAAACUCGAUGCCAGCAAAAAGGUCCAAUGAGUGCAGGAUUCCUUUGGCUUCAUUCUCUGGUUACCAGGCGUCAGCAAACCUGUGCUAAAAAUAACUUCAUAUGAACGUAGAAAAGGCUUUUGUUACCUAUCAAAAUAUGUUCAACUCCUGAGGAUCCCAAGUAGACAGUGAACCAAUUAAAAGUGACUGGUUUGGUGUACUGAGGAACCGAGGUCCUUUAGGAGGGUGUGGCAUAGACCUUGAGGUUCUUCCUCCGCUGGUUACCGAAUGUCACUGAACGUACUAUGCAGUUUUGUCCCUCCUUGUCUCCUACUUCUUUUUAUUUUGUUUUCAAGACAGAAUUUAAUGUAACCUCGGCUGAUCUCAACAUUAUUACAUGGCUGAAGAUGGCUUUGAUCUCCCGAGCCUCCCAAAUUCUGAGAUACAGGCUUGCACCACUAUGCCCAACUCAUUUCUUUUUAGACUCUUUCAUUUUGGGUUUCUUAUGCCUCUUCUUCCCUUCUGCACCCCAAUCCCUUCCAACAUCUCAACGCCGGGUAGGAGGGAAAAAAGGUUGGUAGGGAGCAGGGCAGAGUUCUCUUAGGCUGCUUCCUGCUGGUUAGGGUUGUCGGGGCUAACCAGUCCAGUCUUCAUUGCAGGAUAACUCCAGUUUCUCAUCCAGCUGCACCCACAGCAACCAGGAGCAGCUGGGCUGAGGUGUGCCGGGGAAGCGCCAGCAGCCGCCUUCUCCCUCAGAGCCCGCUCAACACUCUGGGCCCUGGCAUUUAUUCCCUCUC